RNAcentral lists this ribosomal RNA (460 nucleotides) under uncultured Enterobacteriaceae bacterium. RNAcentral's name for it is "bacterial SSU rRNA". It matches the Rfam family "Bacterial small subunit ribosomal RNA", at positions 925 to 1382 of the family's 1533-position model. The record is from RNAcentral. Lineage: Bacteria; Pseudomonadati; Pseudomonadota; Gammaproteobacteria; Enterobacterales; Enterobacteriaceae.
ACAAGCGGUGGAGCAUUGUGGUUUAAUUCGAUGCAACGCGAAGAACCUUACCUACUCUUUGACAUCCGGAGAAUUUGCUAGAGAUAGCUUAGUGCCUUCGGGAACUCUGAGACAGGUGCUGCAUGGCUGUCGUCAGCUCGUGCUGUGAAAUGUUGGGUUAAGUCCCGCAACGAGCGCAACCCUUAUCCUUUGUUGCCAGCGAGUAAUGUCGGGAACUCAAAGGAGACUGCCGGUGAUAAACCGGAGGAGGGUGGGGAUGACGUCAAGUCAUCAUGGCCCUUACGAGUAGGGCUACACACGUGCUACAAUGGCAUAUACAAAGAGAAGCGAACUCGCGAGAGCAAGCGGACCUCAUAAAGCCAAUCUCAGUUCGGAUUGUAGGCUGCAACUCGCCUACAUGAAGUCGGAAUCGCUAGUAAUCGCGGAUCAGCACGCCGCGGUGAAUACGUUCCCGGGCCUU